This 473-nucleotide ribosomal RNA is filed under the name uncultured bacterium. RNAcentral describes it as "bacterial SSU rRNA". It matches the Rfam family "Bacterial small subunit ribosomal RNA", at positions 355 to 825 of the family's 1533-position model. The record is from RNAcentral.
UGGGGAAUAUUGGACAAUGGGGGCAACCCUGAUCCAGCCAUGCCGCGUGUGUGAAGAAGGCCUUUUGGUUGUAAAGCACUUUAAGCGAGGAGGAGGCUACCCUGACUAAUACUCAGGAGUAGUGGACGUUACUCGCAGAAUAAGCACCGGCUAACUCUGUGCCAGCAGCCGCGGUAAUACAGAGGGUGCGAGCGUUAAUCGGAAUUACUGGGCGUAAAGCGCGCGUAGGCGGUUUGUUAAGUCGGAUGUGAAAUCCCCGGGCUCAACCUGGGAAUUGCAUUCGAUACUGGCAAGCUAGAGUAUGGGAGAGGAAGGUAGAAUUCCAGGUGUAGCGGUGAAAUGCGUAGAGAUCUGGAGGAAUACCGAUGGCGAAGGCAGCCUUCUGGCCUAAUACUGACGCUGAGGUGCGAAAGCAUGGGGAGCAAACAGGAUUAGAUACCCCCGUAGUCCCUGAGCGGGCUGGCAAGGCGCAU